Molecule: non-coding RNA, 110 nt
Filed under: Bacillus sp. (in: firmicutes)
Lineage: Bacteria; Bacillati; Bacillota; Bacilli; Caryophanales; Bacillaceae
Also listed under: 1 other name
Description: Bacillus sp. TPP sequence
Rfam family: TPP riboswitch aptamer (THI element)
About the family: Vitamin B(1) in its active form thiamin pyrophosphate (TPP) is an essential coenzyme that is synthesised by coupling of pyrimidine and thiazole moieties in bacteria. The previously detected thiamin-regulatory element, thi box was extended, resulting in a new, highly conserved RNA secondary structure, the THI element, which is widely distributed in eubacteria and also occurs in some archaea.
Source: RNAcentral
AAUGAAAUGUAGGGGGGCCGGUGUUGCCGGUUGAGAUUUCGUUCUUGAAACGAUGACCCUUGGAACCUGAUCUGGUUAAUACCGGCGGAGGGAACAUAUUCUUAAACAAA